RNAcentral lists this unclassified non-coding RNA (257 nucleotides) under uncultured fungus. Its description in RNAcentral is "sequence contains 5.8S rRNA gene". The stretch from base 1 to 53 matches the Rfam family "5.8S ribosomal RNA", at positions 102 to 154 of the family's 154-position model. The record is from RNAcentral. Lineage: Eukaryota; Fungi.
GAACGCACAUUGCGCCCUCUGGUAUUCCGGAGGGCAUGCCUGUUCGAGCGUCAUUUGCUAAACUCAAGCCUACUUGUAGGCCUGGUCUUGGGCGAUGUCCCCUCUGUGGGACACGCCUCAAAUGCAACGGCGACACUGCCUGGCUUCAAGCGUCUAGGAAACUUCAUCGCUUCUGUCAGAUAAAUGUUCUGCCUCUCAACCCCAAUUUUUAUUCUGGGUUGACCUCGGAUCAGGUAGGGAUACCCGCUGAACUUAAG